This is a small nucleolar RNA of Phragmites australis (common reed), 80 nucleotides long. RefSeq annotates it as small nucleolar RNA U61. NCBI's taxonomy places the organism in Eukaryota, Viridiplantae, Streptophyta, Magnoliopsida, Poales, Poaceae. The record is from RefSeq and is a predicted model, not a curated record. The transcript has a single exon.
UGGCGAUGAGGAAAGAGAUCCGUGUGCCGGAGGCGUCCGCCGGUGUCGGUUGCACAAAUCCUCUAAGAAGUUCUGAGCCA